AAAGAAGUAUAAAGUUUAAAUAGUAUAAGAUGACUUGAAACUUAAAAAUUUUGGCGGUAUUUUAAUCUUAUUAGAGGAACCUGUCUUAUAAUCGACAGUACACGACAUAUCUUACUUGAGUUACUAGUUUGUAUAUCGUUGUAAUAAUAAUAUUUUAUAAUUAUUAUUAGGGGUAAUUUUAUUUUUUAUAUCAGAUCAAGGUUCAGCUUAUACUUAAGUGGAAGAUGGGUUACAAUACGAGAAUGUAUUUACGGAACUUAUUUUUAAAAAGUAAAUGAAGGUGGAUUUAAAAGUAUUUCUAUUAUAAUAUAUUAGAUUGAAUAAGCUCUAAAAUAUGC
This 338-nucleotide ribosomal RNA is filed under the name Centruroides testaceus. Its description in RNAcentral is "partial 12S ribosomal RNA". The record is from RNAcentral. Lineage: Eukaryota; Metazoa; Arthropoda; Arachnida; Scorpiones; Buthidae.